CAAAACUCAUUUACAUUUAUCAUUUUUAUCCUCCCCGCUGGUGCGAUUGAGACACAUGUGACCGUCGAGCUCGCCAGGUCUGACAAAACUCCGACCAUCAGUCCCUUGUACAAUCCCACUCGACCUCCUAUCCUCUCUGAUGAUUUUCCAUGUUAGGUAAUAAGUCGUCGUCGCAGUUGUAGGCUUGUAGCCAUCAGACAAUGCCACCGCGACUUACCUUUAAAUCCCCACCGAAAGACACGAUAAACCGACUGGGUAUUCGAUCUCUAGUUUCAGCCAAACCAUACCAGGAUAUGACAAUUUGCAUAUAAACACAACGUAACCAAAUUUUGUUUCAAUCGAUUGAUUUCUAUGUAUUCUUUUCUUCCCCAAUUAUCCAAGUCCUAAUUUUCUGUUGCCUACCUCUGAU
RNAcentral lists this long non-coding RNA (409 nucleotides) under Daucus carota (carrot). Its description in RNAcentral is "long non-coding RNA (DCAR_LNC003853)". The record is from RNAcentral. Lineage: Eukaryota; Viridiplantae; Streptophyta; Magnoliopsida; Apiales; Apiaceae.